Molecule: long non-coding RNA, 1986 nt
Filed under: Olea europaea subsp. europaea
Lineage: Eukaryota; Viridiplantae; Streptophyta; Magnoliopsida; Lamiales; Oleaceae
Source: RNAcentral
AUUUCCCACUUAUUUUCAACUUUUACUUAUGAAAAAAUUGUUUACGUUAAAGCCUGCUUUGUUUACUAAUAUGUAAACUUUAAGCUAAGCCAAACGCGUUUUAAUAAAUAAUAAUAUACAUAGAUUUUAAACAAACAGCGCUACCGUAAUACUACUAUUCACUCGCGUAGAAGCCUCUCAUUCCGCCGCCCGAUUUUGUGUUUACUUCGAAAUUCCCUCAGAUCUGUGUUUUUCCUUUUACAUUCAUCAACUGUGCCCCGCGGUUAUCCACAAAUAUAAUCAUCAAAUGCUUGUUUUUUCAUUGUGAAUUUUUCGACAGUUGAUAAUCAGUCGGAAUGGUGAUUUAUGGACCAUUAAUACUUGGUCAGGUGACUCAGGUCAGUGAAUAUUUCUUAACUAUAGCUAUUUCGAGCUUAUUGUAUUGUACCAUUAGAUCCUAAUUGUUUUAGGUGGAUUUUGUAGAAUUUGCCUGUUCUUAUUGCUAUAGUAAAGAACUGUGUAGGAGAGUGUAUUAUGUGCUUAAAUUGCGAGUUCCUUUUAAAGUUCCGUACUUAAAUAAUUUGAUGAGUUAAUUUUCUUUAUUUUAUGAAAGCAUAGCUUGAUGAAUUAAUUGUUUUUCCUUUUCCUUUGUGUGAAUUGCAGGUGUCAUUUUUCUUGGGAUAGUACCAAUAUGCAUUGACUGGAUAUGCUCAGAGUAUCUGGAGCAUAGGAAAAAUCCCUCAUGGAAACUGUGUCGAUCUUUGAUCAAAUUUGAACGUAAAACGUUGAAGUAAUUUAGACAAUGUGUGGAACAUUAUGUGUGAAGAUGUUUGAAGUGAUUUAUUAUGGUUUCUUAUAGAUACAUUUGCUGAAUGGUAUGAAUAUUUGGUACCACAGCUGCUCGAAUGGCUUAUCAAAUUAUUCACUGAUUUAUUAUUAUUAUUAAUAUUUUUGAGUUUAUGAGACAUAUAGUAGAUUUUGUUGAAUUAAUGAGUGUGUUCUCUGGUGUGAGUUCUGACUGAAGCCAAAAGGCUCAGAAAAAUGGUGAGGAACAUAAUGUUAAUGUAUAGUUCUAUGUGUUUUCAUCCGAUCCUUUGGAAUUUUGUUACAUCAGUAAUGUACUUCAAAUUCAGGAUUCCUUUUGUGUGUGUGUGUUAUUUAGGUACAUAAAGUAUGAUAUAUAUUGUGUUAUAAUGAUAAUAGUUUUCUGAAGGAUUGUAAAAUUCCCUGUCCAAAUCUUGUACAUUUCAGUGGCAGGAAUUCUGAUAUAAAUUUGGUCGAGUUGGGAAAGGAAACACUCAAAGAAGAUAACAGAGCUGUUCUAUCGGAAGGAGGUGCUCUCUAGUCUUCAUCUCCUAAAGUUAGGAAUUCAUCUGUAACAUCUCGCAUUAUCAGGUAAGUAACAAACAAGGUUAAAAUAAGUUGGAGUUGUACCUUACUUUUACGUUCUUGUAUAUGCUUAUCUUCUCUGGUUCCUUAAAUUGGACGAGUCUUUCCUACUUGAGAUAUUUGGCAUUAUAUUUGACAAACUGAUGCCUUCAAAUGUAAAACUGUAAAAGAUGCAGUUGUUUUUAUAAAAAUAUUAAUAGGAAGUUGUGAUAUGUAAAACUUGUGAGAUCAACACUUAAACAGGUGUGAUAUAUGAACGUUAUUAUAUUUUUGUUGUUAGACAACAAGGACAAUGUGAAAAAAAAAAAAAAAAAAAAAAAAUUCUUUGGGUAGUGCACAUUGGUAUGAUAUUUUAUCAAUUACGCUUGUUAGGUUUGAUUAAUAAAGUAGGACUAAUCAUUUAGCUGUCAUGUGAAACAGAAAGAAGCAAUAUUUAAUGUAACAACUGUAGCUUUGUUUCUAUUCCUUUCUUUUUGGUUUGCAUUAACCCUGUCUUUGAUAAUUAGAUAUUUACCCCCUUGAAUAUAACGAACUGGGUCUUAAUAUUGGUUCAUGUAGAGAAACGGAAAACUUGAGCUGUAAUUUUAGGUGCUUAACUGAAAUUCAUCAAAUCAAUAA